This 557-nucleotide ribosomal RNA is filed under the name uncultured bacterium. RNAcentral describes it as "partial 16S ribosomal RNA". It matches the Rfam family "Bacterial small subunit ribosomal RNA", at positions 355 to 920 of the family's 1533-position model. The record is from RNAcentral.
UGGGGAAUAUUGCACAAUGGGCGAAAGCCUGAUGCAGCGACGCCGCGUGAGGGAUGACGGCCUUCGGGUUGUAAACCUCUUUCAGCAGGGAAGAAGCGAAAGUGACGGUACCUGCAGAAGAAGCGCCGGCUAACUACGUGCCAGCAGCCGCGGUAAUACGUAGGGCGCAAGCGUUGUCCGGAAUUAUUGGGCGUAAAGAGCUCGUAGGCGGUUAGUCGCGUCUGCUGUGAAAACUCGAGGCUCAACCUCGGGACUUGCAGUGGGUACGGGCUGACUAGAGUGCGGUAGGGGUGACUGGAAUUCCUGGUGUAGCGGUGGAAUGCGCAGAUAUCAGGAGGAACACCGAUGGCGAAGGCAGGUCACUGGGCCGCAACUGACGCUGAGGAGCGAAAGCAUGGGGAGCGAACAGGAUUAGAUACCCUGGUAGUCCAUGCCGUAAACGUUGGGCACUAGGUGUGGGGUACCAUUCCACGGAUUCCGUGCCGCAGCAAACGCAUUAAGUGCCCCGCCUGGGGAGUACGGCCGCAAGGCUAAAACUCAAAUGAAUUGACGGGGUC